Molecule: long non-coding RNA, 682 nt
Organism: Mytilus trossulus (common blue mussel)
Lineage: Eukaryota; Metazoa; Mollusca; Bivalvia; Mytilida; Mytilidae
Exons: 3
Source: RefSeq, a predicted model, not a curated record
GUCAUAGAAUGCAUGUCAGUUUCACAUUCUAAUGUAUCUAAUGAGUGUUGAGGCAUUAGAGAAGGAUACAAACAGUCUUUCAAUGUAAAAGGAUAUCAAAGUGUUGGUUGGACCUAUCAUCUGGUACUAGACAGUCGAUGUCCACGAAUACGUCAAUACUUUUACAGUGAGGUGUUUCAAAUUUGCUUUAGAAUCCAUAGGAAAAACACUACAUUACAGUAUGCAGACUAUCACAAAGAAUGUGACGAGGAAGGAGGGGAGCUGAUGAAAAUUGAUUCUAAAGAAAAACAGCAAUUCAUUGUUUCAUUUCUUGAUCAGUUCACAUAUCUUGGAUGGAUUAUGUUCCAAGGUUCCCGUAUAUUGGCAGAAAAUCAUUGGAAAUAUGAUGAUGGAUCAAUCAUCACUUACUUUGACUGGUACCAAUCACAGCCUUAUACCACUGCUACCCUAAAUGACACAGUAGUCAUUGGAAUGAGAAAGAUAGAUGGUUAUAAAUGGCGUGACCUGCCGGUGACCGCUAAAGGUGCAUUUUUAUGCGAAAUACUACUUUCUUAGACUUUCAUUACGUAUAUCUAAAGCUUCAUAUUUUUGGGUACAAGCAAGACUUAAUUAUUACAAAUGACGUUCCAUAUUCUUUAAGAAUUGUAGCAUUGGUGUUUGUAGUAUUCAUUAUUUUCUAUGU